CUGAAAGAAUACCCUGUACCAAAACACUUCAGUAGAUGAAAAAGAAGAAAUAUGGGCUGAGGCAGAAGUGGAGCGCAUAGGACCCACCAUUCAUGAAGAGACUGAAGACUUGCAUUGCGAGGAAGACUCAAAUGAGGGGCAGCCCAAAUACUUCUUCCAAAAAAGCUGAGCUGGCAUGAAGUACACAGCAAGCUGACAAAUACAUGCUUCUCCCAUUGCAAAGAUGGCAAUAUGCAAACAGAAGACUGAGAGUCAGGCUAUUCAUCGGACCAGCUGACAAUUUCACCCAUUUUCAGGAAGAAAGAGUUAAGGAUAAAUAAAUCAGGUCCUCAUCUAGUGUCUGAGUUUUCAUUUGAGACAGCACCUCUGAUGUAGAACAGACUUGCUAGUGUCUUCCACUUAUGUGACCUUGAAUACAGUUGGGAUUUUUUGCUUUAAGUUUUGAUAGAAAUCAUGGAAGCAGAUGGCUUGGGACA
Gallus gallus (chicken) is the source of this 476-nucleotide long non-coding RNA. The record is from Ensembl. Lineage: Eukaryota; Metazoa; Chordata; Aves; Galliformes; Phasianidae.